GAUGAACGCUGGCGGCGUGCUUAACACAUGCAAGUCGAACGAAGCACUUUAUUUGAUUUCCUUCGGGACUGAUUAUUUUGUGACUGAGUGGCGGACGGGUGAGUAACGCGUGGGUAACCUGCCUUGUACAGGGGGAUAACAGUUGGAAACGGCUGCUAAUACCGCAUAAGCGCACGGCAUCGCAUGAUGCAGUGUGAAAAACUCCGGUGGUAUAAGAUGGACCCGCGUUGGAUUAGCUAGUUGGUGAGGUAACGGCCCACCAAGGCGACGAUCCAUAGCCGACCAGAGAGGGUGACCGGACACAUUGGGACUGAGACACAGCCCAAACUCCUACGGGAGGCAGCAGUGGGGAAUAUUGCAAAAUGGGCGAAAGCAUGAUGCAGCGACGCCGCGUGAGCGAAGAAGUAUUUCGGUAUGUAAAGCUCUAUCAGCAGGCAAGAUAAUGACGGUACCUGACUAAGAAGCACCGGCUAAAUACGUG
RNAcentral lists this ribosomal RNA (481 nucleotides) under uncultured bacterium. RNAcentral's name for it is "partial 16S ribosomal RNA". It matches the Rfam family "Bacterial small subunit ribosomal RNA", at positions 28 to 507 of the family's 1533-position model. The record is from RNAcentral.